GCGGAAGUGGCGGAAUUGGUAGACGCACCAGAUUUAGGUUCUGGCGCCGCAAGGUUUGAGAGUUCAAGUCUCUCCUUCCGCACCA
This 85-nucleotide transfer RNA is filed under the name Vibrio parahaemolyticus. Its description in RNAcentral is "tRNA-Leu". It matches the Rfam family "tRNA". From Rfam's summary of the family: Transfer RNA (tRNA) molecules are approximately 80 nucleotides in length. Lineage: Bacteria; Pseudomonadati; Pseudomonadota; Gammaproteobacteria; Vibrionales; Vibrionaceae. The record is from RNAcentral.